This 84-nucleotide transfer RNA is filed under the name Candidatus Aminicenantes bacterium RBG_13_63_10. RNAcentral's name for it is "tRNA-Leu". It matches the Rfam family "tRNA". From Rfam's summary of the family: Transfer RNA (tRNA) molecules are approximately 80 nucleotides in length. Their secondary structure includes four short double-helical elements and three loops (D, anti-codon, and T loops). Lineage: Bacteria; Candidatus Aminicenantota. The record is from RNAcentral.
GCGGAAGUGGCGGAACUGGCAGACGCGUAGGCCUCAGGAGUCUAUGGCCGCAAGGCCUUGUGGGUUCGACUCCCACCUUCCGCA